This 216-nucleotide ribosomal RNA is filed under the name Glomeromycotina sp. RNAcentral describes it as "partial small subunit ribosomal RNA". The stretch from base 40 to 216 matches the Rfam family "Eukaryotic small subunit ribosomal RNA", at positions 686 to 864 of the family's 1831-position model. Lineage: Eukaryota; Fungi; Glomeromycota. The record is from RNAcentral.
GGGUCAGUAGGUUGGUCGUGCCACCGGUACGUACUGGUCUCACUGAUUCCUCCUUCCUGAAGAACCGUAAUGCCAUUAAUUUGGUGUUGCGGGGAAACAGGACUGUUACUUUGAAAAAAUUAGAGUGUUUAAAGCAAGCUAACGCUUGAAUACAUUAGCAUGGAAUAAUGUAAUAGGACGAUCGACCCUAUUUUGUUGGUUUCUAGGAUUGACGUA